UGCUAUGUGUUCAAUGGAGGGACCCAGGUGACGAUACUAGGUCUGAAGGUCAGAAGUCUGAAAUGGGUCCCGAAGGCAGAAAUCCAGGUGUCACAGGGCCACCCCUUCUGGGGACUCCAGACUCCUCUGGAUCCCUGUCUGCAUUCCUGGACUUUCGACCCCUCCUUCCCUCCUGUCAAGGCUUCAGUGGCAUCUUCAAGUCUCUGUCCCUUGUUCUCUGACCUCUGCUUCCACUGCCACAUCUCCUCUCUCUCUGAGCCUCCCACCUCCCUCUUCCCUUGGGAAGACCCUACCUGGGGCCACUCACAUAAUUCAGAAUCAUCUCCCCACCUCAAGGUCCUUAAUUCUAUCACAUCUGCAAAAUCCCUGAUACCAGGUAAAGGAACGGGUUCUGGGGGUUAGGACAUGGACACCUUUGGGGGCCUUAUUCAGCUUGUUACAGCAAAUACUUGGCACACAGGAAGAGACAAGGCACACACACUCAAGGAAUCAGAAAAGACUGUUUAUUGUGCACCAGUGCCUGCCCAGCAGAGUCACCUCCAAAGGCUGAGCCCCGAACCUUGGUAUCAGCCUCCUUUUAUGGAUGGGAUGGUAGGGGGUUGAGAGACAAAAGAAAAAGGCGAGGGAGCACUUAUCAGUGGUGCUAUCUGACAGUUGGUGAACACAGGAGACAAACAAGAUUACAGAAGCCAAAAGUAUGCAAGGGGAAUAAUCCAGCCUUGGGCAUCUGGCUGGCCCCUUUUAUCUUGUUUUUAUUAGCUUUUCUUUUCAAGCUGACCACAACACUAUUGCUCAGUUUUCUAGGGGUGUGGGAGCUUUCUUCCAUGUUCCUCUCCCUCCCUGCAUCCUGCCCAGUCUGGGCCACUACUAGGGCCUCCUUGGCCCAGGCUCACCCCGCACCGCACCACCCCGCCCCACCCCACCCGCCUCUUUCAGUCCCUUCUCCUCCUAGGGUCACAGGAAAAGGACUUUGAUUUUAGCUAUGGCUUUGGGGCAUUUCUUCCAGCUGGUCCCCAGCUAAAUGCUCUCUAGGCCUUACUUGUCAGUCAUCAAACUGCCCUUGGAAGAAGAUCCUAUUAUGAUCCUUGUCCUAUGGAUGGAGACACCAGAGCCCAGAGACCCUGAGUGACCUGCCCAGGGUCACAGCAAGAACUGAACCUGGACACCCCAACACCAUCUACUCCAGAUCUCAGCUGACCCCGGGUCCCAGGCCACCCUCAGCACCCUGCCCACCCAGGCCAGGCCCUCCAGAUUUGUCCAGCUUUAUCCCUGGAGAGCUCUGAGUCCCCCUGGACUCACCUCCCUGCCCUAGGACCCACGGCCUAAGAGGACAGAGUUGUAGGGACCAAUGAGGGACUGAGGGGGACAGGGCCUCAGGUUGGAGUAUCUGCAUUCCUCAUGCUUCUUCACCUUCCUCUGGGUCAAAAAUCAGGGUCAGGGCAUGCAGGGGAGGGGCCAAAAGAAGGUCCCCUCCUCCUGGAGACUCAGUCUCAGUCCUGGGAGGUGAAGGUCACAGCAGGGCUCAUCCUUGGCUGCCACACCACCAGGAGACUCAGUCCCUGGCAGCUGGCUUCUCCAGCCUAAUCCCCCGACUCCCUUGUGCUAGCUGCUCCCCCUCAGGAUCCAGGGAUUCUCGGUAACACCUUCAGAGUCAGGGGGGAUGAUCUCCUCAUGGAAAAGCACACAAAACUCUCUGAAUGGGGGUCCAGGGAAAGGGGGUCUAGUGCCAAGCACAGCCACUGCUUCAGGGCUGGCUGUUGAAUGGAGCCAUUGACUCAAGUGGAAUUCUCCAGAUGGCACACACCCUGACAGGUGAGGACAGCAGGCUGCUUUCCCAUUCUGUUCUUGGCUCCCCCCACCUCAGUCCACUUUCACCUCUGCCCUUUCCUGCUGAGAACCUUCCGGCACUCCCAUUUCCUCUAGGAUUACAUCUGCUGCCCUGAGAUGUCACCAAACCUCCAGGGGAAGGUGCAGAAGGGCAUUCAGCAGAGGGGACCUGACUUCUGGAACCUUCAGGCCCCAGGAUGGACAGACACCCUGUGAGGAAGUGAGGCAUGGCAGGGCUGGAGGGUGAUUGGCCUCUGGGACCCAACUCCCAAAAACUCUCCCACCCAAGUCCCCUCAAUGAAAUCUCAGUGACACCCAUUUCCCUGCCAUCACUGUAAAUGCAAGCCACUCCAGUCCCCUUCCCCUGGCUCUGACUGGUCUGGCUGCAGCCAGCAGUCAGGGCGGCCUCAGGGCCCCCACUCCAUCUCUAUCAGAGAGCAGCUUCUCAGGCCCAGCACCAGCUUUCAGGCCUCAACAUCUCAAAUGUGAGGAGCCACCAUCCCUCCCAAGAUGGCCAUGACAGGACCACAGACAUGAUCCCAGGUGGAAGAAGUGACCCAGAAGUAAUGAAAUGCCUGGCCUCAGGGAUGGCCCAUCUGUAACCUGACAAACUCUUGAGGAUUCUAUUUCCCAGUAAGAAAAUAAUGGGGCAUCGGUGUGUGAACCCAUCCUCUAACAGACUGUGUGGGAAACCCCCCGUAAAGCUGGGUCACUGGGCAGUCUGUCAGGGCCUCUGACCUCCCUCGGUUAUUAGGCAUCCCUGGUGACUUCCAAGGCACUCAGUCACUCCAGAGUAGACCAUCUGGUGCCCCAGGAUACCCCUCCAGGCACCCCUUCACCUUUGCACACUCUGACCCUCCAGGAUGGCACAUCCAGGCCAAUCUACCUUCCAGUCACCUUCUCCUGUCCCUCUGGCAGUAAACCCACUCUUUCUCCCACCCCAGAACUCAUCUCAGAUGCCACCUUCUCUCCUGUUGCUACCUACCUCUCACCUGCCCCCUAUAGCAUGACUCUAAGGACUCUGGGGCUCCACGGCCCCUUUACCUUGUCUCAAACUAGCUGGUCUCUCUGUCACCCCACCUCUCCCCUACAUUUGCCAGGGUAUCAUCGAUGGCCCUCAAGUGUCCUAAUCCAACUGUCUCCUCACAGUCUUCCCCUCUGCCGACCUCUAGGUGGACUUGAGAACCGCACACCAUUCUCCCCAUCUUGAACUCCUCAAGCCCCCAAGGUCCCUCUCCUGAGCCUUCUUCUCUAUCCUCUACCCUCCUCCAUCCACUUUGUUCUGGUAUUGCCCCUCAGGGUCACAGGGAGCUAGCCCCAUCAGCCACUCUUUCUAAGUCAUAAACUGGAUCUAAAAAGA
Molecule: long non-coding RNA, 3187 nt
Organism: Lynx canadensis (Canada lynx)
Lineage: Eukaryota; Metazoa; Chordata; Mammalia; Carnivora; Felidae
Exons: 2
Source: RefSeq, a predicted model, not a curated record